AGUCCUGCCUCAUCCAAUGGCACAAUAGGUCAUAUAUCUGAAAGCAUUUCUUGGACAAAGAAGUGACAUGUUCAUAGUCAUUACUAGACAAGUGAUUCACUGCACACUUUCUUAAAUGAAUUGAUUAGUUUGAUGGCAAAUCAAGUAGUCCAGUAUAGAACCUGUUUUGAUUAGUUUUUAAACUGAUAGAUCAGCCUAUAUACGAGUUGAAAGGGGUUCUAUGCCAGAUGAAUCUAUUUAUUGUCGAAUAAUCAAUUUAAAGAAGAAUGCAACAAAUGCACGUGUCUACUUCUUAUUGUAACUGUAGAAUCGUAGCAUUACCCCCAAGAAUUGCUCCAUUUGCAUCAUAAUAAUUUAGGCUGAACUGUGGACCAUUCACUUUUCAAGUAAAUAACCAUUUUGGUUUACAAGCUACAUAAAGCAUGCCUAGUAUUCCAUACAAUGUUCCAAGGAUAUAAUAACAAUACAUAUUGUAUAUGCAUGUGUAUAAU
Non-coding RNA from Pelobates cultripes (western spadefoot toad), 491 nucleotides. Lineage: Eukaryota; Metazoa; Chordata; Amphibia; Anura; Pelobatidae. The record is from the annotation of a GenBank genome assembly.